UUGGAGGGCAAGUCUGGUGCCAGCAGCCGCGGUAAUUCCAGCUCCAAUAGCGUAUAUUAAAGUUGUUGAGGUUAAAAAGCUCGUAGUUGAACCUUGGGCCUAGCCGGCCGGUCCGCCUCACCGCGUGCACUGGCUCGGCUGGGUCUUUCCUUCUGGAGAACCGCAUGCCCUUCACUGGGUGUGCUGGGGAACCAGGACUUUUACUCUGAAUAAAUUAGAUCGCUUAAAGCAGGCCUACGCUCGAAUACAUUAGCAUGGAAUAAUAGAA
RNAcentral lists this ribosomal RNA (268 nucleotides) under uncultured Ascomycota. Its description in RNAcentral is "partial 18S ribosomal RNA". It matches the Rfam family "Eukaryotic small subunit ribosomal RNA", at positions 548 to 822 of the family's 1831-position model. The record is from RNAcentral. Lineage: Eukaryota; Fungi; Ascomycota.